This 251-nucleotide ribosomal RNA is filed under the name uncultured bacterium. RNAcentral describes it as "partial 16S ribosomal RNA". It matches the Rfam family "Bacterial small subunit ribosomal RNA", at positions 78 to 339 of the family's 1533-position model. The record is from RNAcentral.
AAUAAUGUGUGAAAGUACACGAGCGGCGGACGGCUGAGUAACGCGUAGGAACGUACCCCAAAGUGAGGGAUAAGCACCGGAAACGGUGUCUAAUACCGCAUGUGAUCUAAGGAUUAAAGCCUUCGGGCGCUUUGGGAGCGGCCUGCGUAUGAUUAGUUUGUUGGUGAGGUAAUGGCUCACCAAGACUACGAUCAUUAGCUGGUCUGAGAGGAUGAUCAGCCAGACUGGGACUGAGACACGGCCCAGACUCC